AGACGAAGGUGGCUAGCGUUGUUCGGUAUCACUGGGCUUAAAGGGUAUGUAGGCUGAAUGGAAAGCGUCGUGUGAAAGCCCUCGGCUUAACCGAGGAAUUGCUCGGCGAACUUCCAUUCUUGAGGCAAACAGGGGUGCGCGGAACUCUUGGUGGAGCGGUGGAAUGCGUAGAUAUCAAGAGGAACGCCGGUGGCGAAAGCGGCGCACUAGGUUUGCACUGACGCUGAAGUACGAAAGCGUGGGGAGCGAACGGGAUUAGAUACCCCGGUAGUCCACGCCGUAAACGAUGUGUACUAGGCUGUGGUAGUUCUGACACUUUCACGGCCGAAGCAAAAGCGUUAAGUACACCGCCUGGGGACUACGGUCGCAAGGCUAAA
Molecule: ribosomal RNA, 377 nt
Filed under: uncultured bacterium
Lineage: Bacteria
Description: bacterial SSU rRNA
Rfam family: Bacterial small subunit ribosomal RNA
Source: RNAcentral